GACUUUUAUAUAUUCAUUGGGGUAAACUUAUCAUUAGAGACUUCCAGAUAAGAACUCGAGCCACGUGUCAAGCCAAACCUAGUUGAGAAAUUGAGAACCAGCCAUUCGGUCAAUUAAGGACAUGAGCAACUUGAAACCCACCUCCCUGUAGCCAACUUGCCACUUUCCAAUUUCGAUGCAUCUUUCAUCUUCUGCUACAAUGAAGCUAAGGAAAGGCUCAAAGGCCUGUGGUCACCUGAGGAGGAUGAGAAGCUUCUCAGGCAUAUUACUAAAUAUGGUUACGGGUGUUGGAGCUCUGUACCUAAGCAAGCUGGUCUGCAAAGGUGUGGGAAAACUGGGAAGAGCGGCAGAUUGAGGUGGAUCAACUACUUGAGGCCUGAUUUGAAGAGAGAACCGUAUCAACCAGCCAUCUUCUUCUUAUUCUUCUUCUUUCUUUUAAUUUAAUCUAGAUGUAUAUGGGUUAAGAUUCCGCUUCACAUUAUCUAAAUGUCUAACCUCCCUCUAACCGAUUACCGACCGUUACCGUCACCGGUUAACCGGCGACGGUAACGAUCGAAAUAUGAGAUAUCGGAAAGAAGUCGGUGAAAUUACCAACUUCACCGACAAAGUUGAGACGGUAGGCGGCAAACCCCCUAUCGUCCUCGAUUCCCCUGAUACCCACCCCUAAGUAUGACAUCGAUUAUUAUAAGUUUCUUAUAAACUGAUCUGAUAAUUAAUAUGAAA
This is a long non-coding RNA of Alnus glutinosa, 723 nucleotides long. RefSeq lists it as uncharacterized. The transcript is spliced from 2 exons. The record is from RefSeq and is a predicted model, not a curated record. NCBI's taxonomy places the organism in Eukaryota, Viridiplantae, Streptophyta, Magnoliopsida, Fagales, Betulaceae.